GCCUUUGGGAACGGUAGGAUGGCUGCAAGGAGAAGUUUGAGAUACUCGGGGAACCCGGGUGCAAAACAUUCAAAGAACACUUUGAGAAGCACAUAUUCCAGGAAACAGGAAGGAGUCUUCACCCCGGUGUGCAUUCAAAACUGCGUAUGAGCUUUGGGGCACAUGUCCUUUUUCUGGGGAGGCGAUCAUAGCUUCCUCUAUAUCGAGGAUUUAGAAAGCUGGUCCAAAGCCCCGGCCCAAGGAUGUGUUUGACUUUUCUAAUAAUUCUGAUGCCUCAAGCAUACCGGGAGCACUCGAGGAAGAAGAGGAGACUUACGAAACCUUCGACCCCCCUCUGCACAGUACGGCUAUCUACGCAGAAGACGAGCUGUCCAAACACUGUGUGUCCUCCAGUUCCCUGGCCACCCACAGAGGGAAGGCGAGCAGAAACUUGGACCCUUCUGAAGAUGAAGCAAGUGGAAAUGAGUCUAUCAAGGUCAGCACAAAAAAGCCAAGGAGAAAGCUGGAGCCCAUCAGCGGCGAGUCGGACAGCUCUGCAGAUGAUGUAAGGAGGAGGGUGGCAUCUGCAGAAGGACCAAGGUCACAGCAACGCCAGGCUGCUCCUGCAGCACCGUCACCCCCUGAGAGGCCAGCCGAGCCGGUCACUCCCAGGAGGACAAGACUCCACAGCGCUCAGCUCUCUCCUGUAGACGAGACACCAGCAACCCAAAGUCAGCUGAAAACUCAGAAGAAAGUGCGGCCGUCUCCUGGCAGGAGGAAGAGACCAAGGCGCGGACACACAGACACAGAUGGUUCUGAAAGUAUGCAUAUCUGGUGUCUGGAAGGAAAGAGACAGAGUGACAUAACGGAGUUGGAUGUUAUUCUGUCUGUAUUUGAGAAAACCUUCCUGGAGUAUAAGCAAAGAGUAGAAUCUGAAAGUUGUAAUCAAGCCAUCAACAAGUUUUAUUUUAAAAUGAAAGGAGAACUCAUCAGAAUGCUUAAAGAAGCCCAGAUGUUAAAAGCCCUGAAAAUGAAGAACACCAAGAUAAUUGCCAACAUGGAAAAGAAAAGGCAGCGUUUAAUUGAAGUCCAGGAUGAACUGAUUCGAUUAGAACCACAACUGAAACAACUACAAACAAAAUAUGAUGACCUUAAGGAGAGAAAGUCAUCACUUAAGAAGUCCAAGCAUUUCUUAUCUAAUUUAAAACAGCUGUGUCAAGAUUAUUCAAACGUUCAAGAGAAAGGACCAAAGGGAACGGGAAAGUAUGAUUCAUCUAGCCUUCCAGCUCUGUUAUUUAAAGCAAGAAGCAUUCUGGGCGCCGAAAACCACCUGAGAACCAUCAACUAUCAGCUGGGGAAGCUUCUCGAGCUGGACUGAGAACUGAGCCUCCUGCUGCCUUUUCUGCUCCUGAAGCCAUGCUCCUGACAGCAGCGGCCUGUGGUGACAGUAGUGAGACCUGCUUAUCAGGGUGUACUACCGUUUUGUCAUUCAAACUAAAUUACACCAAUUCAGUUGUCUAAUAACUCAGAAGGCAUAGCCAUAUUUUUGAGUAUUGUGUUAAUAAAUUUCAGUCUCUUGACAGGUUAGUCAUCACCAGGCAUAAGCUUUUUAACUACAAUAAACUUUAAUGAUGUCAGUGCAAAUGCAAGCAUAGAAUGAUCCUGGUUAAUUAGGAGCGUCUGCUGAAAUAUGUCAAAGGUAGUCUUCAAUAAAUCUGGCUUAGGUAAACCAAGUGAUAGAACGGUUGCUAUAAACAGGUUUUACAAUAAGUUAAUAAGUUGAUCUUUUGUAUGAUGUUAAAUGCAGGGCCUUGCACAUCUUAGGUAAGUAUUCUAAUGUUGGGCUACAGUCCCGGCACUAAUUUAACAUUUAUGUUAUCAAAUCUCAGGCUUCAGGCAAAUUGUAGCCUGGUUAUGUAUGUUCUGUCCACAGUCAGCUAUUCUGUAAAGCUUCUAUAAUUAGUUCAUCAGGAAUAUCAUCCAUUGAACCAAGGCUCUUAUCUGCAGCGUCAGCAAAUUCAGCAUCUUCUGUCGCUUCUAAGAAAAGGGCGUCAUCUUCGUCAUCCCAGGCAGCGGCAGAAAGCCCGCCGGCUGACAAGUUGCAGGAUGGCGGGGUUUGAGAAUCCUUGGUCAGUGAGGUGCUGGUGUCAUCUGUUUCUCCAGAAGUGAAGUCUUCCUUUAUUUUGGAGGGAAGAGGAAUAAAGAUUAGUCAGAAUAUGUGACUUCAAAUACGUUGAGUUAAGGUAUGAAAUAAUAACCAGGUUUUCAGCAGUCAGUGACCAUGCUGGCUGCCUGCUGUCAGGAACAGUCAGCAUGGGGAAGGCUAAGUUAGCUCAGAAGUGCUUUUGUAGCGCAGACAUGCUUCUCUGAGGCUGAAACUGACUGUAGCUCAUGGCAGAUACAUUUCAACUCCUCAGAAGGGGUACAGCAAAGGGAAGUUUCUAGAUUAACAAAAAAUCAAUGCCUAGAAUCUAUGUUAAAAAGCCAGCAUGCAAUCCCAGUGCUAGGGAGGUGGAGACAUGGCUCCCUGGAGCUUGGUAGCCAUCCAGCCAAGCCUCCCAACUGAACACCAGCCCAGUGAGAGGCUGCAUCUCAAAAAAGAAAAAAAAAAUGUCCUGAGGAAUGACACCCAAAGUUGUCCCUCUGGCCUGUGUGCGUGUGUACAUGAGCACACAUGUGAGCAUGGACACACAAAUGUAUAAAUAAAAGGAAGAUGAAGGAGAAAUGGCAGUGUUAACAGUUCACUUGGAAGGUACUAUUUCUAUACUCGUGUUUCUAGAAGAAAAACAUGUUCAGAUAAUAGUAAUAUUGUAUAUCAAGAAUACUUUCACUUGGCAUUUUUGAGGUAUUAUUAGAAAAGAAAAAAUUUCUACCAAAGAUGUCGCCACAGUAAAUUAAUGGCUGGGAAUGUAGCUCAAGAGAGAGCCCUUGCUUCCCAUGUAUGUGGCUGAUAAGUUCAAUUCUAUCCAAAACCAAACACUGCUCUUAUAAGAGAUAAUUAAACAUUUUUAAUCUGUUCCUAGAUACUAUUUUAAAUGUAGUAGUAUGUCAGAGUCUGCUUAUCAGUUGUUAUGUCCCGCUCUAACAUACCAAGCAUGGGAUUUUAACUUUAAGCUUGGAUGUUGGGUCUGGAGAGAUGGCUAAGAGCAUUGCUGCUCUUCCAGAGGACCCCUCCAGGGCUGCAGUUCCCAGGACCACAUGGUGGCUCACAACCACCACCAACUACAGUUCCAGGGAACUUCUGCUUCCUUGGGUACCAAACAUACAUGUGGUAUGCACAGAUGUACAUGCAAUCAAAUCACUCAUACAUAUAUAAAAUUAAAAAACCAACUUGAAUAUGAUGUUUUCAGAAGAGAUUUUUAAGUACAGAUCUCAAAGGAUGCCAGGCGGUUUCUAGACUGUAGUGGAAGGAGCACUUGUUCGGCCUGUAACAGGUCAGGUACCCCAUCAUGGCAGUUUGAAAGACUGUGCUGAUGGUUUUACAGUGAAAAUGAAAAUAAAAAAUUAACUCUAAAUAACACAUGACAAAAAGUAUUAAAAAUUAUCAGAAAAAUUGAUCCAGAAAUUCAUAAAAUAAC
This is an RNA transcript of Mus musculus (house mouse), 3557 nucleotides long. It is a transcript of the gene named centromere protein U, with no coding region annotated. The transcript has 14 exons. NCBI's taxonomy places the organism in Eukaryota, Metazoa, Chordata, Mammalia, Rodentia, Muridae. The record is from RefSeq and is marked validated.